This 683-nucleotide ribosomal RNA is filed under the name Pseudomonas brenneri. RNAcentral describes it as "bacterial SSU rRNA". It matches the Rfam family "Bacterial small subunit ribosomal RNA", at positions 108 to 787 of the family's 1533-position model. The record is from RNAcentral. Lineage: Bacteria; Pseudomonadati; Pseudomonadota; Gammaproteobacteria; Pseudomonadales; Pseudomonadaceae.
GAGUAAUGCCUAGGAAUCUGCCUGGUAGUGGGGGAUAACGUUCGGAAACGGACGCUAAUACCGCAUACGUCCUACGGGAGAAAGCAGGGGACCUUCGGGCCUUGCGCUAUCAGAUGAGCCUAGGUCGGAUUAGCUAGUUGGUGGGGUAAUGGCUCACCAAGGCGACGAUCCGUAACUGGUCUGAGAGGAUGAUCAGUCACACUGGAACUGAGACACGGUCCAGACUCCUACGGGAGGCAGCAGUGGGGAAUAUUGGACAAUGGGCGAAAGCCUGAUCCAGCCAUGCCGCGUGUGUGAAGAAGGUCUUCGGAUUGUAAAGCACUUUAAGUUGGGAGGAAGGGCAGUAAAUUAAUACUUUGCUGUUUUGACGUUACCGACAGAAUAAGCACCGGCUAACUCUGUGCCAGCAGCCGCGGUAAUACAGAGGGUGCAAGCGUUAAUCGGAAUUACUGGGCGUAAAGCGCGCGUAGGUGGUUCGUUAAGUUGGAUGUGAAAUCCCCGGGCUCAACCUGGGAACUGCAUUCAAAACUGACGAGCUAGAGUAUGGUAGAGGGUGGUGGAAUUUCCUGUGUAGCGGUGAAAUGCGUAGAUAUAGGAAGGAACACCAGUGGCGAAGGCGACCACCUGGACUGAUACUGACACUGAGGUGCGAAAGCGUGGGGAGCAAACAGGAUUAGAUACCC